GUCCUGUAUUCAGCGGCGGACGGGUGAGUAAUGCCUAGGAAUCUGCCUGGUAGUGGGGGACAACGUUUCGAAAGGAACGCUAAUACCGCAUACGUCCUACGGGAGAAAGCAGGGGACCUUCGGGCCUUGCGCUAUCAGAUGAGCCUAGGUCGGAUUAGCUAGUUGGUGAGGUAAUGGCUCACCAAGGCGACGAUCCGUAACUGGUCUGAGAGGAUGAUCAGUCACACUGGAACUGAGACACGGUCCAGACUCCUACGGGAGGCAGCAGUGGGGAAUAUUGGACAAUGGGCGAAAGCCUGAUCCAGCCAUGCCGCGUGUGUGAAGAAGGUCUUCGGAUUGUAAAGCACUUUAAGUUGGGAGGAAGGGUUGUAGAUUAAUACUCUGCAAUUUUGACGUUACCGACAGAAUAAGCACCGGCUAACUCUGUGCCAGCAGCCGCGGUAAUACAGAGGGUGCAAGCGUUAAUCGGAAUUACUGGGCGUAAAGCGCGCGUAGGUGGUUCGUUAAGUUGGAUGUGAAAUCCCCGGGCUCAACCUGGGAACUGCAUCCAAAACUGGCGAGCUAGAGUAUGGUAGAGGGUGGUGGAAUUUCCUGUGUAGCGGUGAAAUGCGUAGAUAUAGGAAGGAACACCAGUGGCGAAGGCGACCACCUGGACUGAUACUGACACUGAGGUGC
This 675-nucleotide ribosomal RNA is filed under the name Pseudomonas sp. #P. RNAcentral's name for it is "bacterial SSU rRNA". It matches the Rfam family "Bacterial small subunit ribosomal RNA", at positions 83 to 754 of the family's 1533-position model. The record is from RNAcentral. Lineage: Bacteria; Pseudomonadati; Pseudomonadota; Gammaproteobacteria; Pseudomonadales; Pseudomonadaceae.